This 259-nucleotide ribosomal RNA is filed under the name uncultured bacterium. RNAcentral's name for it is "partial 16S ribosomal RNA". It matches the Rfam family "Bacterial small subunit ribosomal RNA", at positions 91 to 354 of the family's 1533-position model. The record is from RNAcentral.
ACGAGUGGCGGACGGGUGAGUAAUGUCUGGGAAACUGCCCGGUGGAGGGGGAUAACUACUGGAAACGGUAGCUAAUACCGCAUAACGUCGCAAGACCAAAGAGGGGACCUUCGGGCCUCUUGCCACCGGAUGUGCCCAGAUGGGAUUAGCUUGUUGGUGAGGUAACGGCUCACCAAGGCGACGAUCCCUAGCUGGUCUGAGAGGAUGACCAGCCACACUGGAACUGAGACACGGUCCAGACUCCUACGGGAGGCAGCAG